AUUUUAACAAGUCUUAUUUUUAACUUAUCAGGCAAUUGACAUAAUAUUGAUGUUUGGUAAACAAACAAUGCAAUUAUUUUAUGUAUUAAUUACUGGUAACCGACCGGCCGCCGCGUCUGAGUCACGGUUAUAGAUAACACACACACUCAUUUAAAUUUUAAUCAUAAUUACACACUAGCACACUGCUAAGUAAGAAUUAUUAUUAAAUUUGUAGAAUAGUACAAACCCCCGAAUCGUUACAAUACCCGCAUAUCAGAUAAGACCUAAUUAAACGUAUUUUAUACAUUAUAAUAUAAAUAAGUAAUUAUGUUCCAUAUUUUCCAUUUUGAUUAAUCCCUAGGUAGCGACUAGAGUAUUUUUUUCUGGUUACAUAAUAUUCGAGAUUAUUCAACGCAAUUAUUUACGAAGUAUCGAUAUUUUAUUUAAUUAUCAUGAACAAUCAACGAAAACAUAAACAUACUAAGGUACAAUGUUUAUCCUGUGGUAGUUUAGUUAUAUAUAUCU
Molecule: non-coding RNA, 504 nt
Organism: Cinara cedri
Lineage: Eukaryota; Metazoa; Arthropoda; Insecta; Hemiptera; Aphididae
Source: the annotation of a GenBank genome assembly